Chelonoidis abingdonii (Abingdon island giant tortoise) is the source of this 118-nucleotide non-coding RNA. The record is from RefSeq and is a predicted model, not a curated record. NCBI's taxonomy places the organism in Eukaryota, Metazoa, Chordata, Testudines, Testudinidae.
GAAUGAACCUAACAGGUAAUGAUCAAGUGAUCUCUCUUCUGCCAUCCUUCUCCACUCUCUAACAAACAGAGGCUAGGGACACCAUCCCUGUCCAUCCUGGCUAAUAGUCAUUGAUGGA